Long non-coding RNA from Ostrea edulis (European flat oyster), 887 nucleotides. RefSeq lists it as uncharacterized. The transcript has 3 exons. Lineage: Eukaryota; Metazoa; Mollusca; Bivalvia; Ostreida; Ostreidae. The record is from RefSeq and is a predicted model, not a curated record.
CAGAGAAUAGGUCAUAAACAGUGGCUAAGAUACACUGUGAAAGUCUGUUUACAUGAGUUGAGCGAAUGUCUGGAUGUAUAAAUGUAUAGCAGAUUUUAACUUUGUAUACAUAUUUAAUUUUAAGAUUUCCUAAAGAUGCACAUAAACGUUGAAAUUGGUUGAGGCACUGAAUCUGGAUGGAUUUGUACCCAUGGUGAAUGAACAUUCCUAUAUAUCUAUGUGUGUUCUGGGCACUUUGUGGUUUGGCACAGUGAUGACAGAUCCCUAGAAUGAGAAUUAUUUUCCCACCAUGUUCUCAUAAGGGUAUGUCUGUUGAUGCAGAAAUGCAGAACCAAGCAACCAGAAGGAAUAUUCAAAAAGUAGAGCUACCUGGUGCCUAAGUGUGAAAAGAUGGUGUAGUGGAGAGGUACUUCUGCUACCCCUGGUGAGAGGGCCCGACCUAAAUGUCUGAUGUCAUUGGAGCAUAUAGAUCAGUUUCUAGCCAUUGAUGAGACAGAAAGUUGGAUUGUAUGUUGAAGAUAUUGCUGAAUGCUUUGGAUUCUCAGUCACACCAACUUUCACCUCACUUUCCAUGAUGUCAGCUUUGUCAGUGAUAUGGGGCCACAAGGGGGAUCCAAAGAAAACAAUGUAAAAAAAAUAUGAAGUAAUCUACACUCUACAGCAACAUGCGAGUAUAAUGAACGGGAAAUAUAUAUUCUGAAACAUAAGCAUCCAUGAAUUAUCAAUUUUGUGUGCAUAUGUUUUGCACUUUAAAUGAUUAAAAGUGUUUGUCAUUAAAUAUGUUUUUAAUAAAUAAAUUUAAUAAAUAUUGUAUUGACUUUUUUAUGUCAGUGAUGCUGAUUGAAAUUCAAAAUAAUGGUUACCAGUUUUGGGAAACAACUCUUUUA